UACGUAGGGGGCAAGCGUUGUCCGGAUUUAUUGGGCGUAAAGAGCGUGUAGGCGGCCAGGUAGGUCAGCUGUGAAAACUCGAGGCUCAACCUCGAGACGCCGGUUGAAACCAUCUGGCUAGAGUCCGGAAGAGGAGAGUGGAAUUCCUGGUGUAGCGGUGAAAUGCGCAGAUAUCAGGAAGAACACCCGUGGCUAAAGCGGCUCUCUAGUACGGUACUGACGCUGAGACGCGAAAGCGUGGGGAGCGAACAGG
This 253-nucleotide ribosomal RNA is filed under the name uncultured bacterium. RNAcentral describes it as "partial 16S ribosomal RNA". It matches the Rfam family "Bacterial small subunit ribosomal RNA", at positions 524 to 776 of the family's 1533-position model. The record is from RNAcentral.